This 468-nucleotide ribosomal RNA is filed under the name uncultured bacterium. RNAcentral describes it as "partial 16S ribosomal RNA". It matches the Rfam family "Bacterial small subunit ribosomal RNA", at positions 28 to 507 of the family's 1533-position model. The record is from RNAcentral.
GACGAACGCUGGCGGCGUGCUUAACACAUGCAAGUCGAACGGAAAGGCCCUGCUCUUGUGGGGUGCUCGAGUGGCGAACGGGUGAGUAACACGUGAGUAACCUGCCCUUGACUUUGGGAUAACUUCAGGAAACUGGGGCUAAUACCGGAUAGGAGCUCCUGCUGCAUGGUGGGGGUUGGAAAGUUUCGGCGGUUGGGGAUGGACUCGCGGCUUAUCAGCUUGUUGGUGGGGUAGUGGCUUACAAAGGCUUUGACGGGUAGCCGGCCUGAGAGGGUGACCGGCCACAUUGGGACUGAGGUACGGCCCAGACUCCUACGGGAGGCAGCAGUGGGGAAUAUUGCACAAUGGGCGGAAGCCUGAUACAGCAACGCCGCGUGCGGGAUGACGGCCUUCGGGUUGUAAACCGCUUUCGCCUGUGACGAAGCGUGAGUGACGGUAAUGGGUAAAGAAGCACCGGCUAACUACGUG